CUCGCUGCUAAGCUAUCGCCGCUGCCAACCUAUCUAUUGCUGCAAGCUAUCCCUCGCUGCUAAGCUAUCCCUCGCUGCUAAGCUAUCGCCGCUGCCAACCUAUCUAUUGCUGCAAGCUAUCCCUCGCUGCUAAGCUAUCGCUGCCAACCUAUCUAUCGCUGCCAACCUAUCUAUCGCUGCCAAUUUAUCUACCACUGCCAAUCUAUCUAUUGCUGCUAAUCUAUCGCUGCUGUCAAUCUAUCUAUCGCUGCUAAUCUAUCUAUCGCUGCUAAUCUAUCGCCGCUGCCAAUCUAUCCCUCACUGCUAAGCUAUCCCUCGCUGCUAAGCUAUCACUGCCAAUCUAUCGCUGCUAAUCUAUCACUGCUAAUCUAUCGCUGCCAACCUAUCUAUCGCUGCCAAUUUAUCUACCACUGCCAAUCUAUCUAUUGCUGCUAAUCUAUUGCUGCUGCCAAUCUAUCUAUCGCUGCUAAUCUAUUGCUGCUGCUAAUCUAUCUAUCGCUGCUAAUCUAUCGCUGCUAAUCUAUCGCUGCUAAUCUAUCGCUGCUAAUCUAUCGCUGCCAACCUAUCUACCGCGGCGAAUCUAUCUAUCACUAUCAUUACUAGUUCAAAAUAGAACUAGAGCAUAAACACACUAAACUUCUUUUGAUAGGUAAUGAUUUUUGGUAACGCUCAUAGCAUUAUAUCAUCUAUAUAGGGUAAAUCAUGGUCCCAUUUGGUCCCAUUUUAACAAAAUGGGACCAAAUGAGACCAGAAUCAGUAAUUUAUAAGAAGAACAUGACCUGGGACUAGAUUUAUAAUAUAAACAGUGUAAAGUGACUAAUUUAAUAAACACUAUAUGGGACCAGGACUAAGAAAUUUGAUAAUGGGACUGGAGAAAUAUUUAGUCCCAGUCCCAUGCAUGGUCACACGGCCAGUCUAAUAAUGAGGCACUCAGGCCUUAAACACAGAAGAAUCAAUUUGUAAUGUAACAGACAUACUUUGAUUAACAAUUUGGUACUAUUCUAAUUACAGAUUACAAAUUGAUUAAGGAAAGAAAGAGAAAAGA
This 1045-nucleotide small RNA is filed under the name Histoplasma ohiense. RNAcentral's name for it is "hypothetical lncRNA". Lineage: Eukaryota; Fungi; Ascomycota; Eurotiomycetes; Onygenales; Ajellomycetaceae. The record is from RNAcentral.